This 447-nucleotide ribosomal RNA is filed under the name uncultured bacterium. RNAcentral's name for it is "partial 16S ribosomal RNA". It matches the Rfam family "Bacterial small subunit ribosomal RNA", at positions 29 to 523 of the family's 1533-position model. The record is from RNAcentral.
AACGAACGCUGGCGGCAGGCUUAACACAUGCAAGUCGAACGCCCCGCAAGGGGAGUGGCAGACGGGUGAGUAACACGUGGGAACGUACCCUUUACUACGGAAUAACGCAUGGAAACGUGUGCUAAUACCGUAUGUGCCCUUAGGGGGAAAGAUUUAUCGGUAAAGGAUCGGCCCGCGUUGGAUUAGCUAGUUGGUGGGGUAAAGGCCUACCAAGGCGACGAUCCAUAGCUGGUCUAAGAGGAUGAUCAGCCACAUUGGGACUGAGACACGGCCCAAACUCCUACGGGAGGCAGCAGUGGGGAAUAUUGGACAAUGGGCGCAAGCCUGAUCCAGCCAUGCCGCGUGAGUGAUGAAGGCCUUAGGGUUGUAAAGCUCUUUCACCGGAGAAGAUAAUGACGGUAUCCGGAGAAGAAGCCCCGGCUAACUUCGUGCCAGCCGCCGCAGUAA